UAGGUACAAUGCUGCUUGGCCAAUGACUAGGAUUCCUCAUCUGUUAGCUCAGUCUCAAUUAUCAUAAACAUAUAUUUUAUAAGACUUAUCUUAUCGGACACCUUAUUGGCUUCCCUCCUUGUCGGUGGAUCACAUGGUGCCACUGGAGCAGGAGCCGAGGGGAAAAAAGAGAAAACUUCCCGUUUCUCCUCGCUCAAAUAUGUCACUUCCUGCCUGGAUCACCACUUCUCUACUACAUCUCCCAGAAUCCUCUUUGACUCCUAGUUCCGUCUAACUUGCUGUCUCAUUGGCCAAACAGUAUUUUAUUCAACAAUCAAUAAGAUAAACAUACACAGUACAUUCCCCAUCAGAGUCCACCUGGCCUAAUCACCUCUGCAGAAUCCCAUGCUUUAAUACAGCUGCCUCGGUAGGGGCUGGGAUUCAGUUUUAAACUGCAGUGAUUCUUAGGCAAAGUCCAUA
This 459-nucleotide long non-coding RNA is filed under the name Cricetulus griseus (Chinese hamster). Its description in RNAcentral is "lncRNA (ENSCGRG00000025611.1)". Lineage: Eukaryota; Metazoa; Chordata; Mammalia; Rodentia; Cricetidae. The record is from RNAcentral.